AAUGAAGUGCCUGAAAAAAGGGUUACCUUGAUGAGGUAAAUUAUGUAAAUUUACCUUCAUUA
RNAcentral lists this transfer RNA (62 nucleotides) under Bostrichoidea sp. KM-2015. Its description in RNAcentral is "tRNA-Ile". Lineage: Eukaryota; Metazoa; Arthropoda; Insecta; Coleoptera. The record is from RNAcentral. RNAcentral also lists the same sequence under 1 other name.